Molecule: ribosomal RNA, 301 nt
Filed under: uncultured bacterium
Lineage: Bacteria
Description: bacterial SSU rRNA
Rfam family: Bacterial small subunit ribosomal RNA
Source: RNAcentral
UCCUACGGGGCGCAGCAGUGAGGAAUAUUGGUCAAUGGGAGCGAGCCUGAACCAGCCAAGUCGCGUGAGGGAAGACGGUCCUAUGGAUUGUAAACCUCUUUUGUCGGGGAACAAAAGCCGCCACGUGUGCCGUUCCGAGAGUACCCGAAGAAAAAGCAUCGGCUAACUCCGUGCCAGCAGCCGCGGUAAUACGGAGGAUGCGAGCGUUAUCCGGAUUUAUUGGGUUUAAAGGGUGCGCAGGCGGAAGAUCAAGUCAGCGGUAAAAUUGCGAGGCUCAACCUCUUCGAGCCGUUGAAACUGG